UACGUAGGGUGCGAGCGUUGUCCGGAAUUACUGGGCGUAAAGAGCUCGUAGGUGGUUUGUCGCGUCUGCUGUGAAAAUCCGGGGCUCAACCCCGGACUUGCAGUGGGUACGGGCAGACUAGAGUGUGGUAGGGGAGACUGGAAUUCCUGGUGUAGCGGUGAAAUGCGCAGAUAUCAGGAGGAACACCGAUGGCGAAGGCAGGUCUCUGGGCCACUACUGACGCUGAGAAGCGAAAGCAUGGGGAGCGAACAGGAUUAGAUA
RNAcentral lists this ribosomal RNA (261 nucleotides) under uncultured prokaryote. Its description in RNAcentral is "partial 16S ribosomal RNA". It matches the Rfam family "Bacterial small subunit ribosomal RNA", at positions 524 to 784 of the family's 1533-position model. The record is from RNAcentral.